UACGUAGGGCGCAAGCGUUAUCCGGAAUUAUUGGGCGUAAAGAGCUCGUAGGCGGUCUGUCGCGUCGGAUGUGAAAAUCCAGGGCUUAACCCUGGGCCUGCAUUCGAUACGGGCAGACUAGAGUUCGGUAGGGGAGACUGGAAUUCCUGGUGUAGCGGUGAAAUGCGCAGAUAUCAGGAGGAACACCGGUGGCGAAGGCGGGUCUCUAGGCCGACACUGACGCUGAGGAGCGAAAGCGUGGGGAGCGAACAGG
This 253-nucleotide ribosomal RNA is filed under the name uncultured bacterium. Its description in RNAcentral is "partial 16S ribosomal RNA". It matches the Rfam family "Bacterial small subunit ribosomal RNA", at positions 524 to 776 of the family's 1533-position model. The record is from RNAcentral.